UAUUUUUAAAGCUCUAGAUUGAGACACAAGAGAUGGCAUGACUCUUAAGCAGUUCUAAUUUAAUACAUUAGAGAGUGAAAACAUUAAAAUUUUGAAUUUGUCAAUUAUUAUUGUUCAAAUAAAGAUAAGUCUCUCACAAUUUAGAUUAUGAUGCUAUGGUACAUAGCUCAUGAGUUGCCGAUAGGUUUACUGUGUUUUAUAGUUGUUUAUUAUGAACUAGGUGUUGGAUGUAAAUUGUUGUAGUCAUUGUAAAAUCU
Molecule: long non-coding RNA, 257 nt
Filed under: Lathyrus oleraceus (garden pea)
Lineage: Eukaryota; Viridiplantae; Streptophyta; Magnoliopsida; Fabales; Fabaceae
Description: Pisum sativum (pea) long non-coding RNA (PSAT_LNC035796)
Source: RNAcentral